AACGAACGCUGGCGGCAGGCUUAACACAUGCAAGUCGAACGCCCCGCCAGUGGGUCGGCAGACUGGUGGGUAGCGCGUGGGAACGUACCUUUUUGUUCAGCACAACCUCGUGUAACUUGAGCUAUUACCGGAUAAGCCCUAACGGGGUAAGAUUUAUCGCCGAACGAUCGGCGCGCGUCAGAUUAGCUGGUUGGUGAGGUGAGUGCUCCCCAAGGCGACUAGCAGUAGCUGGUGUGAGAGGAAGAUCAGACACACUGGCACUGAGACACAGUCGAGACUCCUAGGGGAGGGAGGAGAGGGGAAUAUAGGAAAAUGGGGGCAGGGCUGAACAAGCCAGGCCGGGUGAGAGAUGAUGGCGGUAGGGAAGUGAAGCUGUUUUGUACGGGAAGAUAAUGACGGUACCGGAAGAAUAAGCACCGGCUAACUUCGUG
RNAcentral lists this ribosomal RNA (431 nucleotides) under uncultured bacterium. RNAcentral's name for it is "partial 16S ribosomal RNA". It matches the Rfam family "Bacterial small subunit ribosomal RNA", at positions 29 to 507 of the family's 1533-position model. The record is from RNAcentral.